AGUGAACGCUGGCGGUAGGCCUAACACAUGCAAGUCGAACGGCAGCACAGUAAGAGCUUGCUCUUACGGGUGGCGAGUGGCGGACGGGUGAGGAAUACAUCGGAAUCUACUUUUUCGUGGGGGAUAACGUAGGGAAACUUACGCUAAUACCGCAUACGACCUACGGGUGAAAGCAGGGGAUCUUCGGACCUUGCGCGAUUGAAUGAGCCGAUGUCGGAUUAGCUAGUUGGCGGGGUAAAGGCCCACCAAGGCGACGAUCCGUAGCUGGUCUGAGAGGAUGAUCAGCCACACUGGAACUGAGACACGGUCCAGACUCCUACGGGAGGCAGCAGUGGGGAAUAUUGGACAAUGGGCGCAAGCCUGAUCCGGCCAUACCGCGUGGGUGAAGAAGGCCUUCGAGUUGUAAAGCCCUUUUGUUGGGAAAGAAAAGCAGCAGGUUAAUACCCCGCUGUUCUGACGGUACCCAAAGAAUAAGCACCGGCUAACUUCGUG
RNAcentral lists this ribosomal RNA (492 nucleotides) under uncultured bacterium. RNAcentral's name for it is "partial 16S ribosomal RNA". It matches the Rfam family "Bacterial small subunit ribosomal RNA", at positions 29 to 507 of the family's 1533-position model. The record is from RNAcentral.